GGGGAUUUAGCUCAGUGGCAUAAGCGCCUGCCUUGCAAGCAGGCAGUCAUGAUCCCCG
Transfer RNA from Cavia porcellus (domestic guinea pig), 58 nucleotides. It matches the Rfam family "tRNA". Rfam says of the family: Transfer RNA (tRNA) molecules are approximately 80 nucleotides in length. Their secondary structure includes four short double-helical elements and three loops (D, anti-codon, and T loops). Further hydrogen bonds mediate the characteristic L-shaped molecular structure. tRNAs have two regions of fundamental functional importance: the anti-codon, which is responsible for specific mRNA codon recognition, and the 3' end, to which the tRNAs corresponding amino acid is attached (by aminoacyl-tRNA synthetases). tRNAs cope with the degeneracy of the genetic code in two manners: having more than one tRNA (with a specific anti-codon) for a particular amino acid; and 'wobble' base-pairing, i.e. permitting non-standard base-pairing at the 3rd anti-codon position. Lineage: Eukaryota; Metazoa; Chordata; Mammalia; Rodentia; Caviidae. The record is from Rfam.